CAUUCCUGCCCCCCCCGGCCAGCUCCCUCUGUUGCCACUGGACUGAGGAGGAACAUCUGCUGAUUCCCUUCCAGCAAUCCCACACCAUGACCUUCUCGGGCACCGCCACGCCCUGCAUUACUGUAAAAUUACACACUGGAUACUCCACCACCUCACACUGCUAGACCACAGCGGUCAGCCUCAGAGACUCGACACGCCCACAGUUCGCCUUCGGAACAAAAAAAGAAACAGGGCAAAAAAACAUCACAGAACACAACCAUUCUUCUAAGCCCAGCCAGAAAUAAAGUAAUAAGCAGCAAAUGUAUUCUUGAAAGCGGCUGUGGUUAAAGAAAACAGGAAAUGUGUUUUCGUAUAUAAGAUCAAUGAAAAUUAAUAAUCUUGUCAAGUGUCUCAUGAGACCAAAAUUUAAAAUAGGCAAGCCUUUUUCCACAUAACUCUCCACUGUGACAAACUGAGUUUGCUCCUGGACAGAUCUGGCUCAGUUGUCUUCAGUGCUUUUUUUCCCUCAUACUUGCUGUGUUUAUUCCCUUAAUCUCGACAGAUACACAUCCCAAAGUGAUGCAGAUAAGCAGGAAAAUCAGUUAUAUUUCCCUAAGAAACCUCUCCGACAUUGCGUGUGUUUGGAUAAACAAGUCUCAGGCUGGCAAGAUUCUGCAGAGGCUCGUAAGCACGGCGUCCUACAUUGGCAAUGCUAAAUCCAGACUCCCAGAAACAGAUGGGGGCUUCAGCCUUCCUACACUGUAUAUGUGUUCACAGCUGACUGUUAUUCUGAGUGCUCGCUGUCUGCACCUAAUGAAGCAAGCAAAGAGCCCCCUCACCAGAUAAAGAACCUCGGCAGUCUGAAGACUCUCCGCCCAGCUUGACCGCCCCUCUAUUCCCAGCAGGAUUAACUGAUUCUUCAAGGACGGGAACAGAAACAGGCGGAAAUGUUUUCGCGUUCUUCACAUCCUCACGGAUGCACCAUCUUGGGGCACAACUGCACUCAGGGGAGGGUCCCACACAUAGCUCAGGCUAGCCGAGGAUGCUCUCCUCGGUUUCCCCUGAAUAGCAGUGAGGCAAGGCGCGGAGAUCUCCGAACAGUGAGGACAUCGGCAUCAGAAGAGCCCACUGACUCCCUCCGUACACGCAUCAGAUUCAAAAUCAACAGGGAAGAAAAAGAGCGUCAGCCGACGUCUUCAUUUCAGCAUAUGCCAACGAUGAGAGUCACCGUUUUCCUCCCCAGUUUCUCUUCCCAAUUACCUGAACAUCUAACAAACCACACACUCGAGGAAACGAGAAUAAUAAGUGUAACGCAAGACGUCCUCUCAGUUAAGAGUGGGCCAAGGACCCUAGACCGGCCGGAGAACCAGGCGGCCCCUGAGGAGGACCUAAGGAGUGUUGCGUCCCUACUCAACGAGCUGGGUCACAACCUUGCCCAGGACAGGGAAAACGAACGCCGAUGGACUGCACAGGAUGCAGACAUGACAUCCGUGACAUGAAUGUCCGAGGACAUCGACACAACAGGCUAUAAGACAGAACUCAAAACUGCAGUUCCAGACGGAUAUUUCAAUAUUUGCAGGAUGCCAAAUUGUAUCUUUUAAAUGUGCAGCAAAAAAUAAAACCCAAGGAACUAACUAGAAAAA
Long non-coding RNA from Lepisosteus oculatus (spotted gar), 1622 nucleotides. RefSeq lists it as uncharacterized. The record is from RefSeq and is a predicted model, not a curated record. NCBI's taxonomy places the organism in Eukaryota, Metazoa, Chordata, Actinopteri, Semionotiformes, Lepisosteidae.